Salvelinus namaycush (lake trout) is the source of this 225-nucleotide long non-coding RNA. RefSeq lists it as uncharacterized. Lineage: Eukaryota; Metazoa; Chordata; Actinopteri; Salmoniformes; Salmonidae. The transcript is spliced from 3 exons. The record is from RefSeq and is a predicted model, not a curated record.
CAGAUCCAAUGACUUUGCUUUGGACUAGAUGCGACUGUUAGUCUUACUUUGACAACUGACACACCAAAGAGUCCAACUGAAAGAGGUCAAAGCUCCACAGACAGCGUUGUGAAUUCAAACAGUCAAAAAAGAGUUUUGGCGGUGCAAUUAUGGCAGACAGCAGUGGGUAUGUCUUCUGGAGUGGGUGUGUUCUUGAUGGGAUUGACAGCUGUCUAUCUCUGCAGG